CGCCAAAGUUCUCAAGCAGAUCAGUGAUGAGGUCAUCGAUAUGGGGGCAGGAUCAGGGCAGGCUAGGGCAGGCUGGAAACUCUGGCCUGGAAUCAACCUGCACACAGACAUGUACAAGAACACAAUACAGUACACAAUUUCACGGGUUGUAACAGGUCCAAGUUUAAGGAUUUGAAGGACAGAAAGCUGGAGGAACAGCAGCAGAAGAUCAAUAGGAAGAUCGAAGCUCCAAAAGAAGUGAAAUAUGAAGACUUUUCUUUUCCUAACGAUCUGGGCUCCAAUAAUAGCAAUUACUACUACCUGCAGGCUGUCCCGACGCAUCAGGGC
This is a long non-coding RNA of Tachysurus vachellii, 327 nucleotides long. RefSeq lists it as uncharacterized. The transcript has 4 exons. NCBI's taxonomy places the organism in Eukaryota, Metazoa, Chordata, Actinopteri, Siluriformes, Bagridae. The record is from RefSeq and is a predicted model, not a curated record.